GCGGCGGUGGCCCAGUGGUUAAUGGGUCAUACUUCUAUCUAAUAUAUGCGGUAUGCGGGUGUUCAAACCCCCUGCUGCC
This is a non-coding RNA of Hymenopellis radicata, 79 nucleotides long. Lineage: Eukaryota; Fungi; Basidiomycota; Agaricomycetes; Agaricales; Physalacriaceae. The record is from the annotation of a GenBank genome assembly.